RNAcentral lists this unclassified non-coding RNA (293 nucleotides) under uncultured Lasiosphaeriaceae. RNAcentral's name for it is "partial contains 5.8S ribosomal RNA, internal transcribed spacer 2, and large subunit ribosomal RNA". The stretch from base 1 to 102 matches the Rfam family "5.8S ribosomal RNA", at positions 53 to 154 of the family's 154-position model. The record is from RNAcentral. Lineage: Eukaryota; Fungi; Ascomycota; Sordariomycetes; Sordariales; Lasiosphaeriaceae.
AUGCGAUACGUAAUGUGAAUUGCAGAUUUCAGUGAAUCAUCGAAUCUUUGAACGCACAUUGCGCCCGCCAGUAUUCUGGCGGGCAUGCCUGUUCGAGCGUCAUUUCAACCAUCAAGCGCCUCGCUUGUGUUGGGGCCCUGCGGCUGCCGCAGGCCCCUAAAUCCAGUGGCGGGCUCGUCGUGGUACCGAGUGCAGUAAACAUCCUCGCUCAGGGAACCCGACGGGUGCCGGCCGUGAAACCCCCCCUUCUUAAGGUUGACCUCGGAUCAGGUAGGAAUACCCGCUGAACUUAA